Molecule: long non-coding RNA, 891 nt
Organism: Triticum aestivum (bread wheat)
Lineage: Eukaryota; Viridiplantae; Streptophyta; Magnoliopsida; Poales; Poaceae
Exons: 2
Source: RefSeq, a predicted model, not a curated record
GCAGCAUCAGGAGGUGAGGUGGUGAACGACCAAGUGUUAGAGAGAAAGAGAGUUGAUUUUGUGAGUGGAGAGGGGGGAGGAGACAGGGAUGGAGCAGAGCAAGGGAUGAGGCAAGCAACAAAAUUUACCACCUGAUUAUGAGAAGAGGGAGAGAGUUGCCAGAGCUUCUGUUGCUGUUGUUGCUCCCUCCCUGCACUGCCUCUUCCCUGGCUCCCCUCCCAAAUCUCUCCCUCCCCCUCUCUUGCCAUUUUCUGCCCCUGUUAUAGCUCCAGUUGUUCUGUUUGUUCUUCAGUUCUGCAGGCUCCUUUGUUUGUUCCUGCUUACGUUCUCAUGCUGCCACUGUCAUGGUCUAGAUACAUACAUGCCCUUGGAUAUGUUCAGCUAGCUUCUUUUCACCUGCCGAAUUCUUGUUUAAUGCUUCUUUUACGUGCUCGGACGCCACUGCACUUGCAUUGCUUCCACAACUCGUCAAAAAGUUUGGUACUUCAAUUCAAACCUGUUCUUGUGAGGUCCAGGGAGGAGGCAAACUUGUUCAUCCAUACAUGUUUAAAAUCUGUUUCAUUUUCAAACAGAUACUUCCACUGCGCUUCCAUUCCAGGCUUCCAGCAUCCUCUUCCUCCAACACGCUCGUUGACGCGUGGCUCUUUGGUUGCAACAAUGAGCUACCAUAAGGAGUGUUUGGAAGGAGUGGAAUCGUCAGAGUUUUCCAUCGGACCUCCCUCGACACUUGAAGAUGUAUAGCUUUUAAGAGUGCAUAAGUCGGUGACUGCUAGCAGGACAAGCAUCCAUGCAGUGAUUUUUCACUCGGUUUCUCUUGUACAUAAACUCUGUUUUUGUCUCUGCUGUUCAACAUUCAGCAAUGCGAAAUGAACGGCUGUAUUCAGACGUCCA